UUUCCGUAGGUGAACCUGCGGAAGGAUCAUUAUUGGAUUUUGAAACUUCAGGCUGCUGCUGGCUCUCCUCGGAGGGCAUGUGUACGCUUGUUGUCCAUUAUUUCUCCCACUGUGCACAAAUUGUAGACCUUUCAGUAGGCCUAUGUUGUUUUUCACAAUCUCUGAAUGUAAUAGAAUGGUUUUGAAUCUUGGGAAAUACAAUACAACUUUCAGCAACGGAUCUCUUGGCUCUC
Molecule: unclassified non-coding RNA, 233 nt
Filed under: plant metagenome
Description: partial contains small subunit ribosomal RNA, internal transcribed spacer 1, and 5.8S ribosomal RNA
Source: RNAcentral